Molecule: microRNA precursor, 104 nt
Filed under: Marmota monax (woodchuck)
Lineage: Eukaryota; Metazoa; Chordata; Mammalia; Rodentia; Sciuridae
Source: RNAcentral
ACACAAGUCACCAGGCAUCCUGAUAAAAUGCAGACUUUGAUCCAUGAGGUCUGAGGCGGGGCUUGAGAUUCUGCAUUUCUCAUAAGCUCCCAGGAAACACCAGU